GUGCCAGCCGCCGCGGUAAUACGUAGGGGGCAAGCGUUGUCCGGAUUCAUUGGGCGUAAAGAGCUCGUAGGCGGUUCAGUAAGUCAGGUGUGAAAGCUCCGAGCUCAACUCGGAGAGGCCACCUGAUACUGCUGUGACUUGAGUCCAGUAGAGGAGCGUGGAACUCCUGGUGUAGCGGUGGAAUGCGCAGAUAUCAGGAAGAACACCUGCAGCGAAGGCGGCGCUCUGGGCUGGGACUGACGCUGAGGAGCGAAAGCAUGGGUAGCAAACAGGAUUAGAUACCCUGGUAGUCCAUGCCGUAAACGUUGGGCACUAGGUGUGGGGAGCCGUCAACGCUCUCUGUGCCGUAGCUAACGCAUUAAGUGCCCCGCCUGGGGAGUACGGCCGCAAGGCUAAAACUCAAAGAAAUUGGCGG
This 415-nucleotide ribosomal RNA is filed under the name uncultured bacterium. RNAcentral describes it as "bacterial SSU rRNA". It matches the Rfam family "Bacterial small subunit ribosomal RNA", at positions 505 to 916 of the family's 1533-position model. The record is from RNAcentral.